This is a long non-coding RNA of Oxyura jamaicensis (ruddy duck), 1563 nucleotides long. RefSeq lists it as uncharacterized. The transcript has 2 exons. The record is from RefSeq and is a predicted model, not a curated record. NCBI's taxonomy places the organism in Eukaryota, Metazoa, Chordata, Aves, Anseriformes, Anatidae.
AGUCAGUUCAUAUGAGUAGACAGAUAUAAUAUUAUGCAUAAAGGAAGAACUGAAUAGUUUUAUAGGAAAAAAAACAAUUACAAAAUAAUGGGCUCAGUUUAUUGUAAUUACUCUAGAAUGAGAUAUUGGAGUAUGAUAGUUCUCAAAAAAAAUUCAGGUCAACAGCAGUAAGAAAAACAGAUUAUAAAUUACUGUGAGAUAACAAAAUGUUACUUUGUCACUGCUGGAAUCCAUGGUGUGUCUACAUCUUGAACACUGAAAUUCUGACAUCCCUUAAAAAUGUGGUAAAACUGAAAGAAACUCAGAGAAGGGCAACAAAGAUGAAAGCAAAUAUACAGUGAUUUCUCUACAAAGAAAGACUAAAAGGACUUCGACUCUUCAGAUUUGAGAUGAGACAUCUGGGCAGUAACUUGAGAGAGAUCCACAAAACUAUGAGCGCCAAGGGGAGAGAAGCUAUAGAAUAAUUGUUUGCUCUUUUCUAAUAAAACAAGGUUUCAUUAAAUGAAAUUAAAAGACAGUAAAUUCAAAACAAACAGGUAGAUACACUUCUUUGGGCAAUUAAAAUUGAACUAUGACCAUGAGAUACUGUAGAUGCUGGAAAUUAUCAUGGUUAAAAAUAACUGCACAUAAAAAUGGAAGAAGAAAUCACUGAGUGCUGUAAAAUAAAAAAGGCCAUUUCUACAUCUGAAAGUCUCUAAGCUGCAAUUAUUUUGAGGCGGGAGAGUAUUCUGAGCAAGUAAUUUAUGCUUCCUUGGCUCUUAUAACCUUUUUGAGAUGGUUGUUACUGCUUACUGUGAGAGGCUGGCUGUUGGUCAUAAACCUUUGGUCUGAGCUGCAAUAGCUCUUCUCAUGCUACUCCGCUAUUUUUCACUUUGUGUGAAUUAAUUACAUCUUUGGAGAGAGAUCAGUAGAAUGAGGCUGCGUACCAAAACCUUCAUAUGAUUCAGUCACAGAACAGUGGCCAAGGGACUGAGGAGCUGAAGAAAAACCACAAGCUGUUACAGCUCCAUUAAUUCCAUCUUCUAGGAACGGAACUGUUCUAUCCCCCUGCACUGGAGCCAUCAGGUUCUUGGGGUUUUGCCUCUAGUUGGGCUACCACCUUUACGUGUCAGUGCCCAAGCUUCCAGGUACUGUUUUAAGUUCAUGCUGACCUUGCGGAAGCUAGUUACUUUAAAUAUUCUCCAUUCAGGAGAGGCUUUAAGGAAGGUUGUUCAUAAUUUUAAUGCUUUGAAUUUUACUACUUUUCAUUCUGUGAAUUGCUUAUACAGCUUCUUUGUUUUUUAAAUGUUUAGGCAUCAACAGGCUUGCAGUUACUUAUUUUAUAACCUUGAUCUUUUGAUUCAGCUGUGUGUGUUUGCAGAUGUUCACAAUUAGAAACGAGAUUGUAAUUAGGUAAGCUCCUUGGGACUGGCAAACUACUUUUUCUUUGUCUUUCUGAAAGAAAAAAAUCAGACUGCAGAAAAUUGUAACUGAAAUAAACUGGUCUUUAUUCUUUGCUGUAAUUACCGUAGUGUAAUUCUCAACACAGGGGGGAAUUUUCUAUUAAUAGGAUUUCUUUAUAAU